CCCCCCCCCCCCCGCGCCUUAGCCUCCGGGGACCCGCGCUCCGAGCAAUUGUCGCUCGGGACAGUAAACACAGCUCAGUUGCCUCAACUUUCUCCGCACAUAAAAGUUCCUGGCGUGCGGGGAAAUUUGAAUAUUUGAUCAGCCCCUUUGAGUGACCCUCAUUAGCUUGGCGCCCUGCUAAGGCUCCGGCAUUGCAAGAAAGCUGCUGGGCCCGGCAUUUGUAUGCCUUGUUAGCGCUGCUUAAUGAAGCUGCCCCGACCGCUCAAAGGCGGCCUCCGGGGCCGGCGCUGCGCACCUCUCGGCACCCCACUCUGCCUAAUGAGCCCCACCGCCCGCUGAAGGCCUCCUCGCCCCCCACAUCCUCAAACAAGAGAAGUUUGGCUCAGUCUUGGGCCACCGCACCUCCCACUGCCAGGCCCAGGAGAGUGGGCCCAAGCUGGGUCCCAGCUGGCUGUAGUGAUCCAGCCGGAAGAGGGAGAGAGGUGGGAGACUUUGGGGUUGUGAGUCUUUUGGUUUGGGGAGGAGGGUUGUGGCCUCAGGUUCCAGUCCAGGGAGUGCACUGCCACCCUCUCCCAAGAGGCCAAUUUCCAUCCAUUUACCCGGGUUCCUUUAAGAUGCACUGGACUAAUGUUGGGGUGGCAGAGGGCAGAUGUCCAGGGGAGGGUCCGUUUUCCACCCUCCUCCCACACCACGUUCCUUUGGGCUCCACUGCCCGGGAGGCUGCCUAUGUCUUUGCAGGGAUCUCUUUAGGAGAGCCAGAACGGAUGUGCUGGGGAGUGAAUUUGAGCAGGGGUGGGCGCGCUCCUCUUCAAACCAUCAUUGCCCCUCCACCACAGACCCCAAACAAUCAAACACAGUCGGCACUGGCAACUACAGCACUACAGCCUACCUUGAACCAGCCCCCCUUCCCCCAGAGAACCAUGCCUUCUCUGGUCUCUCUUUACUCAUGCUUCCAGUCCUUAGGAAGCCUAAAGAAAGCACUUGAAGCAGGGCCCCCCUGUACAGGACCACCUUGCUGCUAGGGCAGGAUGGGACGAAAACAAGCCCGAAGAGGAGGAAGAAAGGGGGUACUUUGGAAGGAAGGGCGACCAAAGCCACCAUCUACUUCCCCUUGCCUCAGUGGGGCAAGUGACAAGCCAGCGACUCUAAGGAGGCCCAGGACAAGUUGUGUUUCAGUCCUCUGAAAAAGGGGUAGACUCCCUCUCUGCCCUUCCCAUGCCCUUUUGCCUGGACGGUUGUCACUAAAGGUCCCUUCUUGCGCACCCAGUUCUUGGACUUUGGAGGGCUUGGGGAAGAGGCUUCUCGCAGACGCACGUUCUUGGGACUUCUAGAGGUGCCCCCCACCACAUGCCCACAAUCCCUCAGAUACAUAGCAGGCUAAGCAGGUUGGUAGCCUCAGGACCCUAUCCCAGGGUGGCCACCUCUAGGAAUGAGUGGCACCCAGCCAGUCCUCACCCUCUGCCGACAGGCCAGCAAGGCCCUGGGAUAGCAGAGCCUCUAAGUCCAUCUGGUCUGCUCCUCUUUCUUUCCCCCAGCUCAGCUGGCAUGCCCCGCCCCAUUUCCCAUCCCACGACCCCCUAAUUUAAGCCCAAACUGACGAUCUUUAGGGAUCAUCUCUGCACUGGGCAAGAUGGUGCCCGGGCCUUGAUCCAUCCAAAGGGCAAAGCUCCGGAACUGGCCGACCCCAAAUGGAUUCCCAACAGGUGGCCAGGUAACCCACGCACGCGGACCUUGCAAGUGCUGGGUCGCGAGCCUCCGCGCCCAAGCCGAGCCGCGAGCAGAGCCACCCUCCUACUUCCCCAGCUCCCCGGCUGUCAAGAGCCCUGCCGCCUGGCCACCGGUGCCCGGAGAAGGACGGGGGGAGCUGGGAGAGCCCCCAGGGCUGGGGCUCUGGGAGGAUCUUACCUGCGGAAAGGUAAGGGAAGCCGGGAGCAGGAAGCAGCGGCGGAUAAAUAUUCAUUAGGAAGUGUAAGUGUCUCCUUUUAAACCGCGCGGCGCGCGCUCUCGCUCCUCUCUCUCUUUCCCUCCCUCCCUCUGUCCUCUUCUGAGGCUCUCUCCCCCUCUCACUCAGCCUCCCCCCCCUUUCCUGCGAAAUGCCGAGUGGAUCCCCGUCUAGCUAACCUGUUGGGAAGCCUGAGCCCUGGGCAGCGCCUCCACAGCUGUUUGCCUUCGCUCUUGGGGAGCGCGUUCCCCAUCCACCCUCCCUUCUCUCGCCCAGCCCCUCACCCCUCCUAAAUUACUACAUCAUUAGCUUUAUUUUCCGGCGUGGAGGGGGGGGGGGUGGUAACGGCACAGCCCGAUGCACCUCCUCAAAGCAGGGCGAAAAGCCGGCGCUGAGUCUGCCCCACUGCCACAUCCCCACCCCACAUCCCCACCCAGUCAUCUUCCCCCCCCUCCCCCCUCCUGCCAUCUCCACCUCCAUCCUGAAUCAGCCUAACUCCCCAUCCCUCCUUCCCUUGCCGCCAACAAUCCGAUCCGCGGCUGGGUCAGCAAUGAGAUGCCAGGUCUGCAGGUUCAACGCGCGCCUUGAUUGGAACUUCACCCUGCAUUGGGUGCGGGGGAAGCUCUCUGAGUCCCCCUUUCCCACGUAGGUUUUAUAGCUUCACCCUGGGCACCUGGGCAUCUUAGGUCUUAUGAUCAAAACACGGGGCGCACUCUCAGGCCCUCGCCUCGCCAGGCCUCAGGGUCCCCGGGCCACAGCCUUAUGGCCGGACUUGGAAGGCUGCGUGGAAGGCGGGGGAGAGGUGGCCUCACUUUAUGCGAUUGCGCAGUAGAGACAGACCUACCGACUGACUGACUGACAAUGGCCUUUUACAACAAACUGACCUGAAGUUCGACGCAAGUCCGCAUCUUUCUCCCUCACGCUCAUGAGAAAACACAUCCACAGGAUUCCAGGACCGCACACGUCCCCGCAGGAUCCCUCUGAGCAUCGCUUGCAGCAGCAGGCGAGCAAGCACUCACACACCCCAUCCCCACCCCCGCACUCCCCAGGCCAACCCUCCAGCGGCCCCGGAGACUAGAAGGCGGGCAGGCUGGCAAAGCGGCUCCCAGCAGAGGUAUACAACGCAAGACUGCUACCGGACGACCUUGGCCACCUUUCUCCCCACUCCAGCCCCCUAGACCCACUCCAAGGGCUCUAAGAGACGGCGUGGUCCCAGGUGCUUGGGGGUGGCUGGACCCUGAGCUCCCGCUGCCUGCUGAGCUCAGAGCUCCGAGGUGGGGGCGGGAGGAGGGGCCGAGGGGGCGGGCCCAGACAAGUUCCCAGUUACAAAUACGGCUGCUCUCACGAGGCCUAGGAGGAGAGCUUCGCCCCCAAAGACUCGUAACGCUGGCCGAGAGGCACCGUCACGUCCACUCUUGGGUCCUGCACCUUCCCCAGUAUCCUGGGGCUCUUUCGGCCAUUUGGUGGCCCGGGGAUGGAGCGGGGUCUCGAGCCUCUAGGAGACCUAGAGAACCCGCUUUCCCCCCCGGCCCCCCCCCCCCACCAUUUGGCCCCGCCAAAAUCCACCAAGACCAGUCCCAGCGGCUGUUUCGACCCUUCCAGAAGGGAGUGGGAGGCAGGAUCCUUGGAGGGUCUGCCUCUUCUUGGAAAGUUGAGAAGUUGGGCACAUGAAGAUGUAAGAGAGGCCUAGAGGGUCCCGGGGCUAGGAAACCCUAUUAACCUCUCAUUCCACCCUAAGGCCCAAGUUUGCACUUGCACACCUUCCUCCCCAAGCAGACCCAGUCGGUCGCACGUCAGGCUUGAGCAGAGUCACCUGACAGUAAGUACAUGGAACGUACGUGCAAUUGUAACCGAGUACACGCGGUGGAAUUAGAGGAACACUAAAAACAGAAUUUGAGGAAAAAAAAGAAACGUCCACAGACAUUUCCAGUGCGUGGUCUGGUUGUCCAGAUGCAGACAAAAGCCACAAUGCCCGCGCGGAGUGACCCCGGCCACAGCGGGAGAGUGGACCGAGUGAGGAUGCAGGCUGUGAAGCCAAGGGCUUCCUGCUAGAGGGAUGUUGGUUCCCGAGGGACAAACUUUGUUGAGCCGACUGCGUGAAAGGUUUCAGGUCAAGUCCAGGAGACUACCUACAAAGAGCACCUCCUCCACCCCAAAGCUGGCCCUUUCCCCUUGCUCUGGGUCAGAGACACCCAGAAGAGGGCAAUCCAGGAAAGAUCUGUCUGGAUCAGCAUCAUUUAUUUGUUGUUAUAUUAUUGGUUUGGGAGAUUGCAUUCUGAAGGAGGAUGAGGUGAAGAGCAGAGGCGCACUUCAAUGCCAGGAGAUUCCUAAUACCUAAUGGGAACUUUGGGCUCUAAUCAGGUUGGAGAACCCGGAGGGUCCCUUCCACUCCUCUUAUGCUAAAUUUAGUCUUUAAAAAAGAACCUUAGCUCCUCUCCACGUCUUCCUGCCUUUUCCCUUCCAUCCCAGUCCCCUUUGUGUAAAAUAAGUCUGCAAAAGAGCACUCCAAAGAAAAUUGAAUUAUCUGGUUUACUAGACUACGUUUCUUUGUGAGGUAUUGAGAAGUUCUCCCUCACCUACUCCCCCGUCCCAGGAGAAAGUCCUCGUCCAGGCCAUUGGGGGCGGGGGAUUGAAGGGGAGGGAUUGAUUCCCAGAGUAGCUUUCCUGGAAAAGCCCAAGCAAGUGCACAGCCUUGUUUUUGGUUUCAGCUCUGUUUGCCUGCCCCAUCCUGGUGAACCUUCCAGACAGUAGCCAUCACGGUUUCCCUGCAGAAGAGGCAGGCACACUGGAUGCAAUGAUGCCCUCCCCUCCCCAACUGUCUCUCUGAAAGUAGAGGGUAAGUUUGGGAAGAUUCUUUCAGACAAAACAAGAGAAAAAAAAAGAGGACGCUCUGGGCCAGCAAGUCGGAUGACCACCCUCCAAGGGGGCAGAGGAAGGUCCGGCUCCUGAAGAAGAGAUGAACCAUCUGGAAAACACUGCAGGAGGACACUUUUAAACAAAUGUGGUUACCCUAGAAAUGGAGGGGGGCUGGGAGUAUGAGUAGGGAAGGAUUUCUUCCCUUUGGGGGACAAACACUGUGUCCUUUCAAUUUUUCCCAAAGAUAUAUUUAAUUCCUGGAAAUUGUAGUGUUUGUUCUUUCAGAUGUUCUAAACAAUAAAGAGUGAAAAUCA
Molecule: long non-coding RNA, 5112 nt
Organism: Felis catus (domestic cat)
Lineage: Eukaryota; Metazoa; Chordata; Mammalia; Carnivora; Felidae
Exons: 3
Source: RefSeq, a predicted model, not a curated record